AGUGAGCAAAAGAAAUUGAAAACCACCCCCCCUUGUUCUCUUCUCUGUCGAACCACCACCACCUAUUGCCACCAUCAUUCUCAGCCACCCGCACCCGCACCAAACCUGUCACCGCCUCCGUCUCCGCCCAGAACCGACCGGAAAACACCUCUCAAAUCUCCCAUGUUUCCCCCUGUUUUGUGCAACCACCAUAACCCCCUUUCCCUACUAUUCCGCCGCCCGGAACCACCCCACCACCGGCGCCUCUCCGGCGCGGUACCACGCUGCUGCAUCGACCAUAACUCCGAUCACAUCCCCCCUUGCCUCCCUCACCUCCCUCACCUCCCGCGCCACUUUCUCCUCCUCACUCUCCCCUCCCUGCUUCCUCUCUCCGUCGUGCCCAGCCAUCCAAGCCGCCGUGUCUACGGCUUCUUCUGUUGUGCCUCUGCGCCGCACCGCCGUUAACAAGCCACCACACAGCCAUCGCUUUUCCCUCUCCUCUUUUUCCUCUGUUUUCGAGCCUUCCUCCCCUGCUUCUGUUCUUCGUGGCUUCGUGCCCAGUUUCACGAGAAACAAGUUCCAGUAUUGGAACUUUGUUCCUUUUUACUUCUCAAGCUGCUAAGCCCAAAACUCUUAGGCCCAAAUACCCUUAAAAAUCAGACUCGGAGCUCAGGACGAACGAACCAAGGAAAAAGGCCUAGCAAUCAUGGAAUUGAGGUACUGCGGGGAACGAUGGACACGAGUAGUGGCGAGGAACUUCACUAUUAUAUUAUUCACCUAGUUUAUGCUUAAUGUUUUAAUAGUUUAAUUAAAGACUUUUAGUAAUUUAUGUACUUAUAUUUUGGGAAUAUAAAGGAUUAUUAUAUUAGAUUUGAGGUUUUUAUGGCUUAUGUAUGAUGUUGCCUUGUAACUUCCAAAAGAGAAUUACGGCAGGUAAUGUCCCGACCAAAUUAGGUUAAUUCUGCUGCUAAUUAUGCCUUAAUAAGUGAUUUAGAGGUCGGGGCGUUACAGUUUGGUAUUCAGAGCAAAGGUUCUGGACCAUAAGUGCUAAACCUUACGGGUUUUGCGCAUAGUAGAAUUCAAUAGGCUUGAAGCAAAGAGUUUAGUUAAAAAGAAUAUGUUAAAAUCAUGUUAAGUUAAAAUGAAAUGAGUGUGAGCGUAGGAACGCACGGGAUAAAAGGGAUUCAUUUCUCCUGUUAUGUAUGUUUUCUUGAUUGAAUAUGUUAUGCGAAAUAUUGAUUAUCAAGGUACUAAUGAUGCCACGAACGAAGGUCACAUCAAGCGCAACAUUUACGAUGACGUCGCCCACAAUGAUGUUUCCCAUGACGAUUUCUAUGACGACCAAUCUAUAAGAGACCACAAGGAGAUGAUGGAACGAUUAGGAACGGAAAGUACGAUGUCAACUGAAUUAGUCAAAGAUUCUCGAAAAACGAAAGUCACUAAUGCGAACGAAAAUGCGUCACUAUUUAAGAAGUUUUCACCUCCGAAUCCACCAAUCUAUGAUCGCAAGCCGAUUCGAUGAAAUUUGAAGACUAGAUCAAUUAUAUGGAUCAACUACUCGAGACUUUCGACAUGCUCUAACGAAUGGAAGCGAAGAUCGUGCAAAAAAAAAAGAAUACUUGUUAUUGAUAUCAAGGAAAAGAUCAUUUUGUUAAAGAUUGUCCUAAACUACCUCCAACGAAUACCGGAACAUCAACCUCGACCAAUCAUGAACGAAACAACAACAAUGCUAAAUCCAUCACGCCCGUCGACAUAUGCAAGAGCUUACGUGAUAAAAGACAAAGAUGACGCCAACGCUAAUAUUAUUUUGAUUUAUCUCUCUCUCGCUUUAGAAUCGAACUUCCCUUGAUUUUAUGUUUAUCGUCACAUGUCAUGUUAUGAGUUUUCUACCCUAGAUAGACUAGGCAAAGUUUAAGUAUUAUAUUUUAAAAGAAGUUAAGUUAAGCAC
This is a long non-coding RNA of Spinacia oleracea (spinach), 1927 nucleotides long. RefSeq lists it as uncharacterized. The transcript is spliced from 3 exons. The record is from RefSeq and is a predicted model, not a curated record. NCBI's taxonomy places the organism in Eukaryota, Viridiplantae, Streptophyta, Magnoliopsida, Caryophyllales, Amaranthaceae.